GUGCACAACACAGAUCUCUGCAGAGGAAAGGCAGUUGCUUGGACCUCUCAAGGUCUGGGAAAAGACAGGUUUGUUAUCCAUGGGAUCUUAUGAAGAUCAGCACGAGCCUGAUACCUCUCCAAAAUUUUUAUGUAUAAAAAUCCGUAAGACA
Molecule: long non-coding RNA, 151 nt
Organism: Chiroxiphia lanceolata (lance-tailed manakin)
Lineage: Eukaryota; Metazoa; Chordata; Aves; Passeriformes; Pipridae
Exons: 2
Source: RefSeq, a predicted model, not a curated record